UGGGGAAUUUUGGACAAUGGGCGCAAGCCUGAUCCAGCCAUGCCGCGUGCGGGAAGAAGGCCUUCGGGUUGUAAACCGCUUUUGUCAGGGAAGAAACGCUCUGGGCUAAUACCCUGGGGUAAUGACGGUACCUGAAGAAUAAGCACCAGCUAACUACGUGCCAGCAGCCGCGGUAAUACGUAGGGUGCAAGCGUUAAUCGGAAUUACUGGGCGUAAAGCGUGCGCAGGCGGUUAUGCAAGACAGAUGUGAAAUCCCCGGGCUCAACCUGGGAACUGCAUUUGUGACUGUAUAGCUAGAGUACGGUAGAGCGGGCUGGCAAGGCGCAU
This 327-nucleotide ribosomal RNA is filed under the name uncultured bacterium. RNAcentral describes it as "bacterial SSU rRNA". It matches the Rfam family "Bacterial small subunit ribosomal RNA", at positions 355 to 674 of the family's 1533-position model. The record is from RNAcentral.